Molecule: unclassified non-coding RNA, 2444 nt
Filed under: Hevea brasiliensis (rubber tree)
Lineage: Eukaryota; Viridiplantae; Streptophyta; Magnoliopsida; Malpighiales; Euphorbiaceae
Source: RNAcentral
UUGACAUUAAAAGAGCUUGCUUUUAAUUACCCCCUUCUAUUGCUGAACAUUACAAAUGAAAAUUUUUUCCUUUGCUUCAUAGAUUUCAGGAUUUUUGAAAUAAAUUUUGUUUUCAUUCUUGUGGCUGCUUCAGUUUCGUUUUCUUUGUUAUCCCUUUUUCUUACCUCACUGCAUUUUAGAACAUUCCAGAAUGUCCAUUAGUAGCAAUUUCUGCUAUUGGGGGUCCCUCAAAGUUUGUCCAAUAACUUAUAACAUCAUAUCGAUCAUCAUAGAAAGGAGACAGUUCAACAUUGAUGGUUGAUGUAAGCAUGUUCUGAUUGAAAUGGACUCUUUGUCCUGUAUUCUUGUACUUGAUGUCUUUCUAUUCUAGCAUAGAUACAUAAAAUUUGACAGAAAUAGCUGUAACUCUGCAGUUUCUACCAAAUUAUGCGCACAAGUUAUUUUGCAUCUUAACAUAAUUUUCAUGCUACUAUCAUAUAAUGAAAAAGGUUUAGAUUUUCAACUAUUAAGGAUAAUUUGUAUGAUAUUAGCAAGUGAUAAUCAACUCUAGUUUUUGUCAGUGUCUGGAAAAGCGAUAUGCCCGGUUAUUUGUUACAUUGCAAAUGCAUCUUGGAAACGAUGUUAAAUCUUCUAUAAGAGACAUGGAAAGUUUCAUUAGAAUGAGUUGGAACCUUCUGGCAAAGAUUUCUUGAAAGCCCUUGUAGAUUAUUUUGAUGAGAAGGGAAAUGGCAUUCCUCUUUAUGUCCUUGGUGAAGCCAAUAUUUGGGAUUCUGUAAAUGUGAAAUUUAGCGACAUGCUGAUGUUAAUAUUGAAACGAUUUCGGAGGGUUAAGAAAUACAAUUUCAAGUUUGCUUCAGGGAGAAGAAAAUGACACUUCUCUGCUCGAUUUUUUGCUUGCAGCAUUUCACUCUAUUGUUUAUAAUAUUUUCAAAUUCCUUCUGCUUGAUUUGGAGAUUGACACAUAUUCAGAGAAGGUACUGCACAAAAAGCUCCAAGUUUAAAAGAGGUUCCUCCUUGCAAAACUCCUUGGUGAAGACUUUUGGUCUUGCUCAUCAUCAUAUAGGUGGGGCCGCAGGAGCUUUGUCUCCAGUGGUACAGCACAGUAUAGUUAGCUUAGGCCUUAGGGUGGUUGUACUUAUGGGUUUUAUUCUGGUAAUUUCAGGAUUCUUCUAUUGUUAAGUAUAAAAAGAAAACCCUACCCUUUGUAUAAAAAAAAGUCACUCAUAACCUUCUCCUUUAUAGUGAACAAUCACAGGAGGCUCUUUGGAUGUAGGCACAUUGCUGAACCAUGUAAAAUUCCUCGUCUUGUUAUUCUCUUUCUUCCUGCAUUUACUGUUCUAACCAGUAUGUUUGUGUGUUAUACAAGUAAAUUUUCAACAUUUGAUUCUCAUUUUCAUGUUCCAUUCUUCUUGCAAUAUUCUGGGAUUUUAUUUGAUGUUUCUUCCAUCUCUUCAUGGAAGCUUCUGCAUGCCAUGCUUUCCUUAUUUUGCUCUGGCUUCUUGCAUCAGCUCUCAUCAAAUUUCAAUUAUGAUAAAAUAGCAGCAUUUGGCAAACUGCUGUGAUCAGUGUAAGAGAUUGGUUGUGAUACUGAUGUGUCCAUUGUUGAAUGGUUGUGAUCAGUGUAACAGAAUAAUGUGAAUGAAAGCACUGUUUGUGAGAUAGUUAUAUUAAGGAUACAUCUUCUAGUUGGAUGUUACACUAUUAUUUCUUGGAAGCUUUUCAAUGCCAUGUCAUCUUCUUGUUAAGUGAUAUAUUAGGUUGGUUCUUGAGUCCAUUUGACUUUGUUGCUAUUGCUAUUUCUAUUGCAAAAUCUCUUGUAAAUACAUUUGGUAUGUGCUAUAUUUAUGACUUUUUGUGGUAAAAAUGUCAAAUCUUCAAAUCUCCAUUUCGUUUUGUUGUAGUUUCUAAAGUUGAUUGAUAAUGAUGAAUAUAAAAAACUUGGAUUCAAUUUCAUUGGUUAGUGUAUUUGUGCUCAUUAGUUAGUUGCUUUCAAGUCCUUGAAUAUCAAUUUAUAUAAAGCAUUUGGCUAAUUUUACAAAAAAAUUGUUUAGCUGUUGACCAUGAUUCUUCGUUACGGUUGCGAUGGCCCCAUUUCUGUCACAUGCGACCCCCAACUGCUAUCAUGGCUGUGACUGAUUUAAAACUGCAGAUUUCUAGUUCUUAUCUUUCCUUAACUGCAUUUUUACAUGGUUUGUAUCAUUCAUAUUAGUAUUGUUUUAAUUUUUAUAUUAAAUAUUAAACUGAGUAGUCUGACUUAUUUUCCCUUAAUAUAUUUUAGUUCAAGAAGGACUGAUUUAAAACUGCAGAUUUCUAGUUCUUAUCUUUCCUUAACUGCAUUUUUACAUGGUUUGUAUCAUUCAUAUUAGUAUUGUUUUAAUUUUUAUAUUAAAUAUUAAACUGAGUAGUCUGACUUAUUUUCCCUUAAUAUAUUUUAGUUCAAGAAG